UGAUUCACUCGUUUGAAGAGA
Non-coding RNA from Caenorhabditis elegans, 21 nucleotides. NCBI's taxonomy places the organism in Eukaryota, Metazoa, Nematoda, Chromadorea, Rhabditida, Rhabditidae. The record is from Ensembl.